Callithrix jacchus (white-tufted-ear marmoset) is the source of this 104-nucleotide small nuclear RNA. NCBI's taxonomy places the organism in Eukaryota, Metazoa, Chordata, Mammalia, Primates, Cebidae. The record is from Ensembl.
CUGCUCACUUUAACAGCACGUAUAUUAAAAUUAAAAUGAUGCAAAGAUUAGUAAGACCCCUCUAAAAGGAUGAUGUGCAAAUUCACGAAGCAUUCUGUAUAUUU